RNAcentral lists this transfer RNA (62 nucleotides) under Histampica haimaensis. RNAcentral describes it as "Histampica sp. h LQ-2021 tRNA-Arg". Lineage: Eukaryota; Metazoa; Echinodermata; Ophiuroidea; Amphilepidida; Ophiactidae. The record is from RNAcentral. RNAcentral also lists the same sequence under 1 other name.
UGAAGGCUAGUUUAUUAAAACAUAGGAUUUCGGCUCCUAAAUACCCGGUACGGGGCCUUUUU